This 338-nucleotide long non-coding RNA is filed under the name Aotus nancymaae (Ma's night monkey). Its description in RNAcentral is "lncRNA (ENSANAG00000039350.1)". Lineage: Eukaryota; Metazoa; Chordata; Mammalia; Primates; Aotidae. The record is from RNAcentral.
AACAAAUGCUCUUGUUCAGAACUAACUCAGGAAUUGGUGUCUCUGGCAGAACAUGGCUAAAGCAGGAAGAAGCAGAUGUUCAUAAAGACUCCUUUUGAUGCUAGGCUCAGAGAACAUUCAAGAUAGUAACAGAUUAGUGCUUCUGAAACCCAAUUUAAGGCAAGAAGGAGUGGGUGCCUGUUUUGUCCUGAAGCCGGAACCAGGGCAAAUUCAGGAUAACCCCAAAGAUACGGGGCUUUGAUAAUGAAGCAGGCCCCGAUACUGGCUCCCAGGGCUUAUACCCACCUCUGCUACACCCACGUGAGUAUCAGAACAAUGUGCCCUUUAAUUUUAUACAG